AUACGGGAGGCAGCAGUGGGGAAUCUUGCGCAAUGGGGGAAACCCUGACGCAGCAACGCCGCGUGGGUGAUGAAGGCCUUCGGGUCGUAAAGCCCUGUCAGGUGGGAAGAAACUUGUUGAUGCCAAUACCAUCAACACUUGACGGUACCACCGGAGGAAGCACCGGCUAACUCCGUGCCAGCAGCCGCGGUAAUACGGAGGGUGCAAGCGUUGUUCGGAAUUAUUGGGCGUAAAGCGCGUGUAGGCGGUCAUGUAAGUCAGAUGUGAAAUCCUUCCGCUUAACGGGAGAAGUGCAUUUGAAACUACAUGACUAGAGUACGGGAGAGGAGAGUGGAAUUCCCGGUGUAGAGGUGAAAUUCGUAGAUAUCGGGAGGAACACCAGUGGCGAAGGCGGCUCUCUGGAUCGAUACUGACGCUGAGACGCGAAAGCGUGGGGAGCAAACAGGAUUAGAUACCCUGGUAGC
This 464-nucleotide ribosomal RNA is filed under the name uncultured bacterium. Its description in RNAcentral is "bacterial SSU rRNA". It matches the Rfam family "Bacterial small subunit ribosomal RNA", at positions 339 to 794 of the family's 1533-position model. The record is from RNAcentral.